AUUGAACGCUGGCGGCAGGCCUAACACAUGCAAGUCGAGCGAAUGAAGGGAGCUUGCUCCUGGAUUCAGCGGCGGACGGGUGAGUAAUGCCUAGGAAUCUGCCUGGUAGUGGGGGAUAACGUCCGGAAACGGGCGCUAAUACCGCAUACGUCCUGAGGGAGAAAGUGGGGGAUCUUCGGACCUCACGCUAUCAGAUGAGCCUAGGUCGGAUUAGCUAGUUGGUGGGGUAAAGGCCUACCAAGGCGACGAUCCGUAACUGGUCUGAGAGGAUGAUCAGUCACACUGGAACUGAGACACGGUCCAGACUCCUACGGGAGGCAGCAGUGGGGAAUAUUGGACAAUGGGCGAAAGCCUGAUCCAGCCAUGCCGCGUGUGUGAAGAAGGUCUUCGGAUUGUAAAGCACUUUAAGUUGGGAGGAAGGGCAGUAAGUUAAUACCUUGCUGUUUUGACGUUACCAACAGAAUAGGCACCGGCUAACUUCGUG
This 484-nucleotide ribosomal RNA is filed under the name uncultured bacterium. RNAcentral describes it as "partial 16S ribosomal RNA". It matches the Rfam family "Bacterial small subunit ribosomal RNA", at positions 30 to 507 of the family's 1533-position model. The record is from RNAcentral.